RNAcentral lists this microRNA (21 nucleotides) under Monopterus albus (swamp eel). Its description in RNAcentral is "Mal-Mir-205-P1-v1_5p (mature (guide))". The record is from RNAcentral. Lineage: Eukaryota; Metazoa; Chordata; Actinopteri; Synbranchiformes; Synbranchidae.
UUCUUCAUUCCACCGGAUUCU